RNAcentral lists this long non-coding RNA (823 nucleotides) under Fukomys damarensis (Damara mole-rat). Its description in RNAcentral is "lncRNA (ENSFDAG00000028569.1)". Lineage: Eukaryota; Metazoa; Chordata; Mammalia; Rodentia; Bathyergidae. The record is from RNAcentral.
UGGGGCCUCGUGUAACCAAUUCGCUUUUGCUCCUCAGUCAAAACGGACGCAGAAAAUCUGACGCCCCCUUCCAUGAGGAGUAGGCAGAUUCUGGAAGGAAACCCCAAAGGGGAGGAGAUCUCGGUCAGCUAGCAGGUUCCGCGCUCACCUGGUAAGACAGCCUUCUUAGGACUACAACCAAGGAAGACUAGAUACCCCUCCUCCUGUUGGGACGCACUUUCGGGAAACACUGCCACGGCUUCCGGAAUGGAGAGCGCACGUUCGCGCGCGGGGAGAGGCGUCACUUCCGCUCUGGCCCCCGACCUGCGCAGUUGGCCUUGUGAAGGCCGUGCCCGCGGGGUUAGCGCCAACGCUCGGCGUGCGAGGGUGAAGCCCAACGCUAGGGAGGGAAGUCCAGUCAGCUUAAGCCAUGGAAGGAAUGGAGGUCGGUGGGGGCAGAAGAACUGCAGAAGGCCUGUCUGGGGAAAGCACAGGAAUUUGGGAGGAACCUAUGGGCCACUCAGAAGUAUGAACAUUCAAGAUGUUUGGAGAAGAGCUUUCCCUCCGGGGCCAGGUCAGUUCCAGCUCUGCAGCAGAUAUAUUGAAAGGAUUGAGUGUGGAUACCUAUUCAGAGUCUGAAAAAAGAUGUAAUCAAUCAAACCGGAAGCUCCUGGGCAGUGACUAAAAGCGUGGGCUCUGGAGCUACGUGAUAGCAUCUGCACGGACAUCGUGACAGCCACUUACCAGUUGUGUGGCUCUGAGCGAGGUACCUGACUUCUCUGUGCUGGGGAGUGGGAAAGAUCAUUAAUACCCUCCAUUGGGUUGUUGUGGGGAGCAGACGAGU